GUCAAUCACCAUGAUGAAGGUAUUGCCCUUUCCGGGGGCGGGGGGCAGGACUAUAAAACCCCAGAUGCCUGGACGUGAGUCAGUCUCUCUGGAAGUUCGCGAGGGAGAGACAACUGUGAUUCGAUGCUGUGAAUCAACUGAACUAACUACAGAGUGAAGCACAUAUUGGCUCAUGACACCGGCCCAAACACACCUGAUGGAGAAAGUGGACCUCCUGCAGCAGUUAAAAGGCGUGUUGUAUCAUCAUUCUCACCCAGCAGCCCUACACAAAUCAACACUUCAAGGUUUCAAGUUAUGUGCCGCACUUUAUGGACCUCGUUGAAAAUCUUCUUGCAAAAUAUCCUUAAGAUUCAAUCACCCAUUGCCAUUGAAUCACCAAUUCAACAGUAAG
Long non-coding RNA from Amblyraja radiata (thorny skate), 391 nucleotides. RefSeq lists it as uncharacterized. The record is from RefSeq and is a predicted model, not a curated record. The transcript has 3 exons. NCBI's taxonomy places the organism in Eukaryota, Metazoa, Chordata, Chondrichthyes, Rajiformes, Rajidae.